RNAcentral lists this ribosomal RNA (301 nucleotides) under uncultured bacterium. RNAcentral's name for it is "partial 16S ribosomal RNA". It matches the Rfam family "Bacterial small subunit ribosomal RNA", at positions 509 to 807 of the family's 1533-position model. The record is from RNAcentral.
CAGCCGCCGCGGGAAUACGAAGGGUGCAAGCGUUAAUCGGAAUUACUGGGCGUAAAGCGUGCGUAGGCGGUUUGUUAAGUCUGCUGUGAAAUCCCCGGGCUCAACCUGGGAAUGGCAGUGGAUACUGGCAAGCUAGAGUGUGUCAGAGGAUGGUGGAAUUCCCGGUGUAGCGGUGAAAUGCGUAGAGGUCGGGAGGAACAUCAGUGGCGAAGGCGGCCAUCUGGGACAACACUGACGCUGAGGCACGAAAGCGUGGGGAGCAAACAGGAUUAGAGACCCCUGUAGUCCCUGUCUCUUAUAC